Molecule: ribosomal RNA, 1400 nt
Filed under: uncultured bacterium
Lineage: Bacteria
Description: 16S ribosomal RNA
Rfam family: Bacterial small subunit ribosomal RNA
Source: RNAcentral
AGAGUUUGAUCCUGGCUCAGGAUGAACGCUAGCGACAGGCUUAACACAUGCAAGUCGAGGGGCAGCGGGGGCGUAGCAAUAUGCCUGCCGGCGACCGGCGCACGGGUGAGUAACACGUAUGUAACCUGCCCUAUGCAGGGGGAUAACCCGGAGAAAUCCGGCCUAAUACCGCGUAAUACCUUAGGGGAGCAUUCUCUUGAGGUUAAAGGAGAGAUCCGGCAUAGGAUGGACAUGCGUCGCAUUAGGUAGACGGCGGGGUAACGGCCCACCGUGCCGACGAUGCGUAGGGGUUCUGAGAGGAAGGCCCCCCACACUGGUACUGAGACACGGACCAGACUCCUACGGGAGGCAGCAGUGAGGAAUAUUGGUCAAUGGCCGAGAGGCUGAACCAGCCAAGUCGCGUGAGGGAAGAAUGUCCUAAGGAUUGUAAACCUCUUUUGUCGGGGAGCAAAAAGGCUCUGCGGAGUCGUAUUGAGAGUACCCGAAGAAAAAGCAUCGGCUAACUCCGUGCCAGCAGCCGCGGUAAUACGGAGGAUGCGAGCGUUAUCCGGAUUUAUUGGGUUUAAAGGGUGCGCAGGCGGCGUGUCAAGCAAGCGGUAAAAUAGCGGGGCUCAACCCCGUCGAGCCGUUUGAACUGGCGCGCUUGAGUUCAGGCGAGGUAGGCGGAAUUCGUGGUGUAGCGGUGAAAUGCAUAGAUAUCACGAAGAACUCCGAUUGCGAAGGCAGCUUACCAGUCUGCGACUGACGCUCAGGCACGAAAGUGUGGGUAUCGAACAGGAUUAGAUACCCUGGUAGUCCACACAGUAAACGAUGAGCGCUAGGUGUCCGGGUCGAAUGAGGCUUGGGUGCCCGAGCGAAAGCGUUAAGCGCUCCACCUGGGGAGUACGCCGGCAACGGUGAAACUCAAAGGAAUUGACGGGGGCCCGCACAAGCGGAGGAACAUGUGGUUUAAUUCGAUGAUACGCGAGGAACCUUACCCGGGCUCAAACGACUCAGGAAUAUAUUGGAAACGAUGUAGCCAGCAAUGGUCUGAGUCGAGGUGCUGCAUGGUUGUCGUCAGCUCGUGCCGUGAGGUGUCGGCUUAAGUGCCAUAACGAGCGCAACCCCUACCGCCAGUUGCCAACGGGUAAAGCCGGGAACUCUGGCGGGACUGCCGGCGCAAGCUGCGAGGAAGGCGGGGAUGACGUCAAAUCAGCACGGCCCUUACGUCCGGGGCGACACACGUGUUACAAUGGCAGGUACAGCGGGAAGCCACCUGGUGACAGGGAGCGGAACCCGAAAGCCUGUCUCAGUUCGGAUUGGAGUCUGCAACUCGACUCCAUGAAGCUGGAUUCGCUAGUAAUCGCGGAUCAGAAUGCCGCGGUGAAUACGUUCCCGGGCCUUGUACUCACCGCCCGUCA